UUUAUUACUCAGUUUGAGUGGGAAAGCUAGUUUGUAGUUGGGGUUGAAUUAAAGGAAGUUCAGCAGGUGGAGAGGGAUUAUGUCUGGUCAAUAGGUCUUAGAGCAGAUACUUGGAGUGCUUAUCAAACUUGUUAAGGAUUUGAAGUUGGAUCAUCAGCAUAAAUAUGAUGAGCUGCAGAAGACAUGGCUCUGUAAAAGAUGCGAGACCAUGAGUGCAAAAUUGAGGGAUUCUUCUACAGAAUCGAUUUUGUAUUUGUAAUUAGCCAACCAACAGCGACGACAGACAAGCUUCUUCUUCUUUUAUGGCGGCGAUUUUUCGGGCUUUGAAGGUCAUUCAUGGCAGAGGUGGAAGGGAUUGGAUUCAAGAGCGUCAAAAUCUGUGGCUAAUCAAAACGAUAGUGGAAGUACCGCCAGCAAACAAAACAGCGAAGAUGCUUGAAGAUAUCGCAUCGACAAUAACAGAAUAAUGGAAGAUUCGAUCAAGUUUUCUGAGUACUUUUAUAGUGCAAAGAUCGUCGUGUGUUAAACGAGGGAAUUAGUUUUGUUUGUCAGUGUCAAUUUGUUUAUUCAACCUAUGACCAAAAAAUAAUAAUAACAAUAAUAAAUAAAUUUAAUUUACCUGAUAACUUUUGAUAAUAGGUUAAUUUUUAAAGAGUGCUGCACUCUCUACUUUAUCUGGAGUGCACUAGCUUUCGCCGUUAAAGAUGGCAUAAAUUGAUAACUUUUGAUAAUAGAUUAAUUUUUAAAGAGUGCUGCACUCUCUACUUUAUCUGGAGUGCACUAGCUUUCGCCGUUAAAGAUGGCAUAAAUUGAAAUUUCCAGAUUAGCUGGUUUGCCUCGCGUUUCAUAUUA
Long non-coding RNA from Arachis stenosperma, 852 nucleotides. RefSeq lists it as uncharacterized. The record is from RefSeq and is a predicted model, not a curated record. NCBI's taxonomy places the organism in Eukaryota, Viridiplantae, Streptophyta, Magnoliopsida, Fabales, Fabaceae. The transcript is spliced from 4 exons.